Molecule: ribosomal RNA, 544 nt
Filed under: uncultured marine eukaryote
Lineage: Eukaryota
Description: SSU rRNA
Rfam family: Eukaryotic small subunit ribosomal RNA
Source: RNAcentral
UCUGUGCCUGUCUCGGCAUCCUCAUGGGGAAGGCGUCUGUGCUUGAUUGCAUAGCGUCUGAUUCAUGACUUUUACUUUGAGGAAAUUAGAGUGUUCACGGCAAGCAAUCGCUUUGAAUACAUUAGCUUGGAAUAAUAAUAUAGGGCUUAAGUUCUAUUUCGUUGGUUUCUAGGGCAUAAGCAAUGAUUAAUAGGGAUAAUUGGGGGCAUUCGUAUUAACGCGUCAGAGGUGGAAUUCUUAGAUUGCGUUACGACGAACUACUGCGAAAGCAUUUGCCAAGGAUGUUUUCAUUGAUCAAGAACGAAAGUAUGGGGAUCGAAGACGAUUAGAUACCGUCGUAGUCUAUACCAUAAACUAUGCCAACUAGGGAUUGGUGGUCGUUCUCUUUAUGACUCCAUCAGCAUCUUAUGAGAAAUCAAAGUUUUUGGGUUCCGGGGGGAGUAUGGUUGCAAAGCUGAAACUUAAAGGAAUUGACGGAAGGGCACCACCAGGAGUGGAGCCUGCGGCUUAAUUUGACUCAACACGGGAAAACUCACCCGGCCCG